RNAcentral lists this ribosomal RNA (468 nucleotides) under uncultured bacterium. RNAcentral describes it as "partial 16S ribosomal RNA". It matches the Rfam family "Bacterial small subunit ribosomal RNA", at positions 28 to 507 of the family's 1533-position model. The record is from RNAcentral.
GACGAACGCUGGCGGCGUGCUUAACACAUGCAAGUCGAACGGAAAGGCCCUGCUGUUGUGGGCUGCUCGAUUGGCGAACGGAUGAGUAACACGUGUGUAACCUACCCUUGACUUUGGGAUAACUUCAGGAAACUGGGGCUACUACCGGAUAAUAUAUCCUGCUGCGUGGUGGGGGUUGGAAAGUUGCGGCGUGUGGGGGUGGAAUCGCGGCUUGUCGGCUUGUUGGUGGGGUAGUGGCUGAGCAAGGCGUUGCAGGGUAGCCGGGCUGAGAGGGUGACCGGCCACAUCGCGUCGGGGAUACGGCCCAGACCCCUAUGGGAGGCAGGAGUGGGGAGUAGGGCAUAAGGGGCGGAAGCCUGAUGCAGCAACGCCGCGUGGGGGAUGAGGGCCUGCGGGUUGUAUACCGCUUCCGUCUGUGACGAAGAGUGAGUGACGGUAAUGGGUAAAGAAGCACCGGCUAACUACGUG